GAGUUGGAUCUAAAGAAAUGUUUGAAUAUUGAACUAAUCCACAACAGGAAUUCUCAGUGGGUCAAACUGAUCCAUAAAGCAAGUGACAUUUGCUCUUAAACUCUCCAUCUGAGGCCAUUUCUUCAGUUUGUAAAGGUUAUUACAAGAUAUUGAAUAUAGUUCCCUGUGCUAUAUGCUCACUGUUGCACUUUGACCUCGUCCUUGGUGCUUCAUGUUCUGACUGAAGUAUCAAUACAUUCUCCAAAAAGUUCAAGAUGGUUCUACAUUCAGGUUAAGCAAUUUCUACAUUUAUUGUUCUAAGUUAGCAUUAAGG
Orcinus orca (killer whale) is the source of this 313-nucleotide long non-coding RNA. RefSeq lists it as uncharacterized. The record is from RefSeq and is a predicted model, not a curated record. The transcript has 3 exons. Lineage: Eukaryota; Metazoa; Chordata; Mammalia; Artiodactyla; Delphinidae.